Molecule: long non-coding RNA, 3401 nt
Filed under: Homo sapiens (human)
Lineage: Eukaryota; Metazoa; Chordata; Mammalia; Primates; Hominidae
Description: HSALNT0171203
Source: RNAcentral
ACGCCCCGGCCCUUGGGUCCGGCUCGGAAGCAGCCCCGGAAACGACGGCAUUUGUUGGGGAAACAAGACCGGAAUUGACCAAGAACAGGAAGAGGAGGGGCCAGGCCUGCAAUUCCCAGAAUGCUCGAGGGCUAACCGACAGCCAGGCUGGCUUCCCGUGGUCUCAGCGCCACCUGCCGGAAGCCGCGAGAACAGCGGCCGCCUCAGGCAGGAAGUGCGUCAUCUCGCACGGAGGACGAAUGCCGUUCCCGGCACUUCCGGUCCUGACCGGAAGCGGUAACCGUCACUCCUUCUGGGCUCUGUCAGUGCACCGAGGCGGGGCUCCCCAGGAUCCCACGGUCCCGCUCAGGCCAGACGCAGAGGCAGUCCCAGCCCGCGAUGAGGACGUGGGGUCGUGACCGCUGGGCCACGGUGAAGGGGGCAGCCCUGCUGGACCCGCUAGCUGGGCCGACGCUUUCCCACCCCUAGGGGUUUGCUGGGCCCUGGCCGCAAACUUGUGGGGCGCCGUCCUCGGGGCCACUGCCCGGCCACCCUCACACCCUUGGGCCCUCAGCUCUGGUGCAUUGGUCCGGGCUCCGGGAGGCACUGAGACGUCCCCCUAGGGCGCUGCAGGGAAGCGAGGGCCAGGCCCUUCCAGGUCCCCGGUCCUCCCGGGCAGGAUGGAGGCUGCUGAACGCUCCUCAAGCUUCCAAGUCAGCCGUGGCUGGGCGGGCGGCAGCAGGGAAGGUUUGGGCUCCGCCAUGCUUGCGAGCCAGCAGCCUGGCCUCGCCUGUCCGCAGCAGGGGGCAGGUCAGCUGCCCGCCCUGAAAGGGAGGACCAGGGCCCAGAUUCUCCCUGCGACAAGCCGCGUCUUCCUUGGCCACUGGGCCCUAGAUGGUUGGCACCUUGUGCCCCUUCUCAGCUGGGAGAGUUCCUGCCCCACACACUCAAGGAUUCUGAGUUCUCCUUGGCUGCUAGACCUCUGGUCCCUCUGAAAGGCUCGAGAGAGAACUCCCCCAGGGCCUGCUGUCCUGGCAUCCGCUGGGAAAUAGGAUUCAAGGACCUGCUGUGGCUCAGCCUAGAAAAAAGGAGGGGAAGCAGGACCCACUCCUCGGCCCCCGGUCUGCUGUGCGCCUUUGGGAUUCCUUAUUUCUUAAACUGCUCUUCCCUCCCCACAGGGAACACAGCGGAAAGUAGAGAGGGGGCUCCUUGGACCAUUAUGUUCUCCCAACCAGUGCAGGCUUGCAAGUUGGGAGCAGCAGGGGAGGAGGGCCUGCUGAGAGACUCUGUAACCCCCUAAAAUGCAGGGCUGGGGACAGUUUCCAAAUUGGCCUGCAAAGAGGCUGCUGGGAGCCCUAGAUAUGAAUUCCCAGGCACUCAUUUCCUCCAGGGAACAGUGAAAUGUGCCAGCACCCCCCUCCCCACAACUAGGGAAAAGUAGCCUAACCCAGAGCAAGCCCCACCCCACGAUGUGGGGAAAGAUAGGAGAGUCUAGACCAAGCCCACUGGCUGGAGGUGCUCAGACAAAGGGAAAAGGACGGGGGAGUGCAGGGGCUCCUUAGCCCCACAGCCUGUCUGCCCCCAACCACCGCUCGCUGGUGGGCUGGGGGGGCUCCCUAGUAGGAUGAGGUCUUUCUUCCCCUCCAGACCCUCUGAGAUGUGGCUCAGGCCUGAGCCAUCAGCUCCUCAAAGGAACAUUUACAGGUAACAGAUGGGCAGGGCAGAGACCCUCAAAUGCUCGGGAGGGGGCAGUGUGUCCAUCCUUUACCAUCCCUCAGGAGGAAGAGGAGUCCUGCAGCGCACCCAGCCCCUACCCCAAGCCCAUCUCACUGCAUUCCCUGGCUGCCCGACCCCUCCUGCCCACCUGCUUACACUGUGUGCCCCUUGUGUGCCCAAGGGGCAGGGUGGAAGUGGCUGCAGGCAACACAGGGCCUCUCCCAAAAGAGAAUAGAGAGAACGCUCCCAAAAAGGGCCCUUGCUACCUGGAGUUGCUCCCUGGUUUAAACCCAAAGUAAAAUUCUAAGCAACCCCAACCAACUGAAUGGGCACCUCUUGGCCAAAUGCAUUCUAAAGUAAACCUGAAAAGCUCGUUGAGGCCAUGAUGACUGUGGGUGGCCGAACAUGCCUCAUAGGCACAGCUGACCAGCAUUCACAUUAAAACAGAGACCUUAGUCCGGUGUGGUGGCUCACACCUGUAAUCCCAAAACCUGGUGUGUCACGUGAGGUCAGGAGUUCGAGACUAGCCUGGCCACCGUGGCGAAACACCGUCUCUACUAAAAAUACAAAAUUAGCUGGGUGGGGUGGUGCAUGCCUGUUGUCCCAGCUACUCAGGAGGCUGAGGCAGGAGAAUCGCUUGAACCUGGGAGGUGGAGGGGAGGCUGCAGUGAGCUGAGAUCACGCCAUUGCACUCCAACCUGGGUGACAAGAGCAAAACUCUGUCUAAAAAUAAAAAGACCUUAAGACUCACAAAACAGACUCUGUAGUAAUAAGAUACCAACGUGACAGCAGGCCCUGAAAGAAACCGAAGUAUUUUACCCCAAAAUAUAUUUCUCUGAUGUAUUUUGAAAUGGCCCUGCAAAGCUGUCUCUUGGGAAAAUCUACAUUCUAUAGAGAAUCCCCCUCCCUUUCCAGGUCUAUUUCCUGAUCCAGGAGAGAAUUAACUAAGAUUCUGGUACCUUUUUAAGUCUGAUAAGAAACAUUUACAAUCUGGCGGCUUCAUCUGCAUAAUAAUCUUGGUCUCCACAACUCCUCUUAACCCAGAUAGUCCAUUCUAUUGAUUUCAGGUCUUUAGAUAAAAUCAACCAAUUAUUAAUCAGAACAUCUUUUAAUCCGCCUAUGACCUGAAAGUCCCUCCCCUUCAAAUCGUCCCACCUUUCCGACUAAACCAACGUACAUCUUAGAUGUAAUGAUCAAUGUCCUAUGUCCCUAAAAUGUAUACAAUUAAGUAGCCAGACCGCCUUGGGCACAAGUUCUCAGGACCUGGGGCUGUGUCACAGGCCACCGGUGCUCAUAUUUGGCUCAGAAUAAAUAACUCCCCAAAUUUUACAGAGUGACUCCUUUGGUGAACACCAGGGAUCCCGACCCACCCACCCUCACCCUGGACCCCACAGAGUCCACAGAGCCAAGCCCCACCGAUGUCAGAUUCCCCUGCCCUCCGGCCAACCCCUAGGUCUCAGACACCACUGGCACUGAGGGACUGCACAGGCCUGGUAGCAUGCCUGAUGUUCCUUCUUUAUUAAAUGACGGAGUCAGGAUGUUGUGAUUACAGUUGAAGGCGACGUGUUAGAAAGGACAGGUGCAUGAAGGCAGAGAGUGCCCACAGACUCGGCUCUCGAACCGGGGCAGGAGGGAACAAGCUGAGUCUCUGGGCGAGUGGCUCCCAGGAGAGGCCUGGCUGAGCAGGCAGAGCACCCUGGGACCCC